UACGUAGGGGCCGAGCGUUGUCCGGAGUUAUUGGGCGUAAAGCGCGCGCAGGCGGCCUCGCGCGCCCGACGUGAAAGCCCCCGGCUUAACCGGGGAGGGUCGUUGGGGACGGCGGGGCUUGAGGGCGGGAGAGGGUGGUGGAAUUCCCGGUGUAGGGGUGAAAUCUGUAGAUAUCGAGAGGAACACCGGUGGCGAAGGCGCUCAUCUGGCCCAAUACUGACGCUGAGGCGCGAAAGCGUGGGGAGCGAACAGG
Molecule: ribosomal RNA, 253 nt
Filed under: uncultured bacterium
Lineage: Bacteria
Description: partial 16S ribosomal RNA
Rfam family: Bacterial small subunit ribosomal RNA
Source: RNAcentral